ACUAUUAGGCUAAGGUGCUUCCACGACUCUAUCUUUGUCAUAUAAUUUAUUUUGCAGCUUUUUUGUUGUUGUUGUUGUGUUAAUUUACUAUGUGGAUUGUUAUUCGCAUUUGUUGAAACCUGGGCCUUAUCGGCCCAAUUAUUUUUACGAUUGUUUGUGGUUUACCCACACAAAUGCACCGGAAAUGUAGAGCCAACCAAUUAUCUUCACUUGGUUUUCUAAUUGAUCUACUAAUUUCUAAUUUCUCAUUUCUUUUAUUUUUUAUUUUUUUUUUCUUUUUAAAAGUUUUUGAUGAAAAGUAUUUGAGAAAAAAAAUAUUUCACUCUUUUGAAGAAACUAUGUAAAUGAUGAUUGCUUAUAUAACUUAAGUGUAAUUAUAUAAUGUGUGAAUACUAAACAAACAUGAUAGCUGUUAAUUAAUUUUUAUUGAUAGUUAGAGAUAAACAUAUUUGUUUUGAUUCUUACGCUAGUUAGUUUUCAAAGAAAAACUUUUCAUCAAAUUUUAUUAGGACAAGUAAUAUUUUGAUAAAUUUUUUUUCACCUAUAUAUAAUGUAUACAUUAAAAUAUUAUAUUUUUAUACGUUAAAAACUUUAACAUUUAAGAAAAUUUAUGAAUCAAUAAUAGAAAAAUAUAAAAUUUUAUCCGGAAAACUUUCCACAAAAUGCAUAAACAAAAAACAAACAAACCCUAAACCCUAUAAUCCUAAGCAUUAUUCUAAACUAAACCCUAAAUCCAACCUAAACUAUAAUCCUAAACGCUAAACCUCUCCUACUACCUAAACCCUAAAUCCUACCUAAGCCGAAACACUACCUAAACCUAACCCUUAACCCUUUCUAAACUUAAACCCUACAUAAACCUAACCCUAAUCCCUAAACCCUUCUACUACCUAAACUCUAAACCUAUCUAACCCUAAACCCUUCCUAACCCUAAAACCCUACCUAAAACCUAAACCUAACCCUAAACCCUACCUAACUCUAAACCCUAUCUAACCCUAAACCCUACUAACCCAAAACCCUUUCUAACCCUAAACCCUAAACCCUACCUAACCCUAAACCCUUUCUAACCCUAAACACUACCAAACCCUGAACCCUACCUAACCCUAAACCCUUUCCAACCCUAAACCCUUUCUAUCCAUAAACCCUUUCUAACCCUAAACCCUACCUAACCCUAAACCAUUUCUAACCCUAAACCCUACCUAACACAAAACCCUUUCUAACCUUAAACCCUACCAAACCCUAAACCCUACCAAACCCUAAAUCCUACCAAACCCUAAACCCUACCUAACCCUAAACCCUUUCUAACCCUAAACCCUACCUAACCCUAAACCCUUUGUAACCCUAAACCCUACCUAACCCUAAACCCUACUAACCCUAAACCCUACCUAACCCUCAAUCCUAUCUAACCCUAAACCCUACCUAACCCUAAACCCUACCUAACACUAAACCCUUUCUAACCCUAAACCCUACCUAACCCUAAACCCUACUAACCCUAAACCCUACCUAACCCUAAAUCCUUUCUAACCCUAAACCCUACUAACCCUAAACCCUACCUAACACUAAACCCUAUCUAACCCUAAACCCAUUCUAACCCUAAACCCUACUAACCCUAAACCCUACUAACCCUACUAACCAUAAACCCUUUCUAACCCUAAACCCUACUAACCCUAAAUCCUAUCUAACCCUAACUUUUUCUAACCCUAACUUUUUCUAACCCUAAACCCUACUAACCCUAAACCCUACUAACCCUAAACCCUUUCUAACCCUAACUUUUUCUAACCCUAACUUUUUCUAACCCUAACUUUUUCUAACCCUAACUUUUUCUAACCCUAACUUUUUCUAACCCUAACUUUUUCUAACCCUAACUUUUUCUAACCCUAACUUUUUCUAACCCUAACUUUUUCUAACCCUAACUUUUUCUAACCCUAACUUUUUCUAACCCUAAACCCUACUAACCCUCCCUAUCUAACCCUAACUUUUUCUAACCCUAAACCCUACUAACCCUAAACCCUACUAACCCUAAACCCUAAAACCCUACCUAACCCUAAAUCCUACAUGUAUAUUUUUUAUGUAUUUGACAUAUGGAGUAGAAUAUACAGAUUUACUUAAACCCUACUAACCCUAAACCCUACUAACCGUAAAUCCUGUCUAAACCUAACCCUAAAACCCUACCUAACCCUAAACCUUACCUAACCCUAAACACUUUCUAACCCUAAACCCUACUAACCCUAAACCCUGCAUAAACCUAACCCUAAAACCUUACCUAACCCUAAACCCUACUUAACCCUAAACCCUACUUAACCCUAAACCCUUUCUAACCCUAAACCCUACUAACCCUAAACCCUGCCUAAACCUAACCCUAAAACCCUACCUAACCCU
RNAcentral lists this long non-coding RNA (2376 nucleotides) under Brassica napus (rape). RNAcentral describes it as "long non-coding RNA (BNAP_LNC001032)". Lineage: Eukaryota; Viridiplantae; Streptophyta; Magnoliopsida; Brassicales; Brassicaceae. The record is from RNAcentral.